RNAcentral lists this ribosomal RNA (453 nucleotides) under uncultured bacterium. RNAcentral's name for it is "bacterial SSU rRNA". It matches the Rfam family "Bacterial small subunit ribosomal RNA", at positions 28 to 518 of the family's 1533-position model. The record is from RNAcentral.
GAUGAAUGCUGGCGGCGUGCCUAAUACAUGCAAGUCGAGCGGUAAGGCCCUUCGGGGUACACGAGCGGCGGACGGGCUGAGUAACGCGUGGGAACAUGCCCCAAAGUGAGGGAUAACGCACCGAAAGGUGUGCUAAUACCGCAUAUGGUCUUCGGAUUAAAGGAUUUAUCCGCUUUGGGAGUGGCCCGCGUACGAUUAGAUUGUUGGUGAGGUAACGGCUCACCAAGUCGACGAUCGUUAACUGGUCUGAGAGGAUGAUCAGUCAGACUGGAACUGAGACACGGUCCAGACUCCUACGGGAGGCAGCAGUAAGGAAUCUUCCACAAUGGGCGAAAGCCUGAUGGAGCAACGCCGCGUGCAGGAUGAAGGCCCUCGGGUCGUAAACUGCUUUAUGAGUGAAGAAUAUGACGGUAACUCAUGAUAAGCACCGGCUAACUACGUGCCAGCAGCCGC